RNAcentral lists this ribosomal RNA (394 nucleotides) under uncultured bacterium. Its description in RNAcentral is "partial 16S ribosomal RNA". It matches the Rfam family "Bacterial small subunit ribosomal RNA", at positions 523 to 919 of the family's 1533-position model. The record is from RNAcentral.
AUACGGAGGAUGCGAGCGUUAUCCGGAUUUAUUGGGUUUAAAGGGUGCGUAGGCGGGCUGUUAAGCGUGAGGUGAAAGCUCGGGGCUCAACCCCGGAACUGCCUCGCGAACUGGCGGGCUUGGAUGUUCGUGCCGUGGGCGGAAUGUGUGGGGGAGGGGUGAAAUGCAUAGAGAUCACACAGAACACCGAUUGCGAAGGCAUCUCACGAACGGAUGAUUGACGCUGAGGCACGAAAGCGUGGGGAUCAAACAGGAUUAGAUACCCUGGUAGUCCACGCAGUAAACGAUGAUAACUAACCGCUGGUGCGCAAGUAUCAGUGGCCAAGCGAAAGCGAUAAGUUAUCCACCUGGGGAGUACGACCGCAAGGUUGAAACUCAAAGGAAUUGGCGGGGG